This is a non-coding RNA of Ornithorhynchus anatinus (platypus), 72 nucleotides long. The record is from Rfam. NCBI's taxonomy places the organism in Eukaryota, Metazoa, Chordata, Mammalia, Monotremata, Ornithorhynchidae.
AGCAGCGUGGCUCAGUGGAAAGAGCACGGGCUUGGGAGUCAGAGGUCAUGGAUUCGAAUCCCUGCUCUGCUG